AGUGAACGCUGGCGGUAGGCCUAACACAUGCAAGUCGAACGGCAGCACAGUAAGAGCUUGCUCUUACGGGUGGCGAGUGGCGGACGAGUGAGGAAUACAUCGGAAUCUACUUUUUCGUGGGGGAUAACGUAGGGAAACUUACGCUAAUACCGCAUACGACCUACGGGUGAAAGCAGGGGAUCUUCGGACCUUGCGCGAUUGAAUGAGCCGACGUCGGAUUAGCUAGUUGGCGGGGUAAAGGCCCACCAAGGCGACGAUCCGUAGCUGGUCUGAGAGGAUGAUCAGCCACACUGGAACUGAGACACGGUCCAGACUCCUACGGGAGGCAGCAGUGGGGAAUAUUGGACAAUGGGCGCAAGCCUGAUCCAGCCAUACCGCGUGGGUGAAGAAGGCCUUCGGGUUGUAAAGCCCUUUUGUUGGGAAAGAAAAGCAGCAGGUUAAUACCCCGCUGUUCUGACGGUACCCAAAGAAUAAGCACCGGCUAACUUCGUG
Molecule: ribosomal RNA, 492 nt
Filed under: uncultured bacterium
Lineage: Bacteria
Description: partial 16S ribosomal RNA
Rfam family: Bacterial small subunit ribosomal RNA
Source: RNAcentral